RNAcentral lists this unclassified non-coding RNA (299 nucleotides) under plant metagenome. Its description in RNAcentral is "partial contains 5.8S ribosomal RNA, internal transcribed spacer 2, and large subunit ribosomal RNA". The stretch from base 1 to 105 matches the Rfam family "5.8S ribosomal RNA", at positions 50 to 154 of the family's 154-position model. The record is from RNAcentral.
GAAAUGCGAUAAGUAAUGUGAAUUGCAGAAUUCAGUGAAUCAUCGAAUCUUUGAACGCACCUUGCGCCCCCUGGUAUUCCGGGGGGCAUGCCUGUUCGAGCGUCAUUUCACCACUCAAGCCUCGCUUGGUAUUGGGCGACGCGGUCCGCCGCGCGCCUCAAAUCGACCGGCUGGGUCUUUCGUCCCCUCAGCGUUGUGGAAACUAUUCGCUAAAGGGUGCCGCGGGAGGCCACGCCGUAAAACAACCCCAUUUCUAAGGUUGACCUCGGAUCAGGUAGGGAUACCCGCUGAACUUAAGC